This 1153-nucleotide long non-coding RNA is filed under the name Salmo salar (Atlantic salmon). Its description in RNAcentral is "lncRNA (ENSSSAG00000111824.1)". Lineage: Eukaryota; Metazoa; Chordata; Actinopteri; Salmoniformes; Salmonidae. The record is from RNAcentral.
CUCAAUAAUACAGUGACGUGGACAAGCCACAGGGGAACACGCUGGCUAAAUGUCAAAGUUUGCUUGUUAGUUAGCUCACUUAAAAGGAGUCCUCCUCGCCUCCUUCUCAAAACCCAUUGGAUGAGAAAGCCAGAGAUCCCGCCCCUCUAACCUUCUCCACCAAUGAUAUUCAAACUCAGGAGCUCCUGUUUUCGAGACAGGCACUUCAACCAGCUAAGCCACAGCGCUCACAGUUUUCAGCUCUGCAGACAGAGAGGGAAGCACAAGAGCCCACCCCCAUAGUGGUUAGAGCAUUGGACUAGUAAUUGAAAGGUUGCAAGAUCGAAUCCCCCGAGCUGACAAGCUUUAGGGGGCAAAACGAAUCUGGGACAUUACAAAUUAUCCAGAGGAAAAACGUUCUUAAAAACGUCACUUGUUGUGCAGCAAAGUGUUCCUGUUGUUGUCAGCCCAACACUAGUCCUGGACGGUCAACCUGGAGUUGAGAAGAAGAAAACAAGUGCUGCUCUCAGUGCUCUUUCCCCAUGUGUAACGGCUUAAGAUGUCCUACCAGUGCCUUGUAUCCGGGGGAAGAGGUGAAGCGUGACAACAGGCUGGAGGUUGGACCGACCGUCACCCUGGUCUAUAGUGAGAGGAAGGGCUUCAGGGGCUGACAGCCAGACAAAGACAGACACAUGUCGACAAUGUGUAUACUCAGGCCCUGACAGAGUUUGGGUUAAUAGUGGGAGUCUCGUAUGAGGAUCGACUGACGAGCAGCUUGUCAACUCUCCAUCUACAUGCUGUUGGAGGAUCAGGAGGAUCACCCACCAUGUCCAUGGAAGGAAGAGCAAGGCAGACAGAUGGAGAGAGAUAGACAGCAAACCACAGAAGAAGAUUAAAAUAUGUGGUUUUCGGUGAUGUCACGUGUGCUCCCCCUCCGGCCUCUAGGUCUCCAGGCUGCUCGUUAUGGCGCACACCUGUCACCAUCGUUACGUGCACCUGCGCAUCAUCAGACUCACCUGGACUCCAUCACUUCCCUGAUUACCUUCCCUAUAUAUGUCACUCCCUUUGGUUCCUUCACCAGGCCUUAUUGUUUCUGAUUCUGUGUCAUGUCUUUGCGUUGUUCGUGGUUUCUUGUUUUGUAUUAUGUUACGUUUAUUUAUUAAAACACACUCCC